AUUAAGCUAAUAACAUUAUAUAGGACACACCAAUAUCAACUUUAUUUGUUCAUUAAUACUUAUAAAGUCAUUACACUAGAAUUUUCUUUCAAAGAAAAUUCUAGUGUAUUGACUUUAUAAGUAUUAAUGGCUUUGGUAUUAAUUAAUGAACAAAUAAAGUUGAUAUUGGUGUGUCGUCUAUAAUGUCAUUAGCUUAAU
Malus domestica (apple) is the source of this 198-nucleotide non-coding RNA. The record is from RefSeq and is marked provisional. Lineage: Eukaryota; Viridiplantae; Streptophyta; Magnoliopsida; Rosales; Rosaceae.